RNAcentral lists this long non-coding RNA (202 nucleotides) under Elaeis guineensis (African oil palm). RNAcentral's name for it is "long non-coding RNA (EGUI_LNC082029)". The record is from RNAcentral. Lineage: Eukaryota; Viridiplantae; Streptophyta; Magnoliopsida; Arecales; Arecaceae.
GGGUCUCCUUUUUAUAGGCGGAGGGAGCAACAGACUGAUAGUGAUGUUUGUAACCGUCUGGCAGUGGGCUGCCCAUGGUCAGGAGGAGUUUAUCAUGAAGAGUAAUGGGGUGGAGUCGUGGCUGUCAUCAUGGCUCGCCACGUGGAAUCAGUUGUGGGGAGUGGAGCGGCAUCCGUUGUCGCGACUCGCCAGGGAGUGGUGG